UCGCGCCGGUGUUGUUGUGAGAAGUUCAUUAAACCUUAUCAUUUAGAGGAAGGAGAAGUCGUAACAAGGUUUCCGUAGGUGAACCUGCGGAAGGAUCAUUG
RNAcentral lists this ribosomal RNA (101 nucleotides) under Gaolejeunea gaoi. RNAcentral's name for it is "Cheilolejeunea gaoi partial 18S small subunit ribosomal RNA". It matches the Rfam family "Eukaryotic small subunit ribosomal RNA", at positions 1731 to 1831 of the family's 1831-position model. Lineage: Eukaryota; Viridiplantae; Streptophyta; Jungermanniopsida; Porellales; Lejeuneaceae. The record is from RNAcentral.